Molecule: long non-coding RNA, 3872 nt
Organism: Peromyscus californicus insignis
Lineage: Eukaryota; Metazoa; Chordata; Mammalia; Rodentia; Cricetidae
Exons: 6
Source: RefSeq, a predicted model, not a curated record
UAAACUUUCUCACCCCUGCCAGCUCCCACAUUCUUCUCUCCAUUCCCAGAACAUACAGUCUGCAUCACGCAUCUCACUUAAGUCAGCAAAACCUGCCCGAGGAGAGAUAGCUGCUGGAGAUAACACGCCACAGACUCCCUGUGUCAGUGCAGUUACUGGCAGGAGUGACCAAUUAUCAAAAACCAAGUGUGCAGUUCUCCUGGAGCGGCAUCUUAAUCUUGGGAAAGCAUGGUUCCCAUUUUGCAAAAUUACAAGGUGAAUGUGAUCACCUUGAACGAAAAGUUGAAUGCUACACCAUUUUAAAUACUGUGAAUUUCAAGGCCACCUACCUUUUAAAUCGGGGUUAUAAAUAGAUGAGACUGGUAAAGUCAAAAGUAUAAAGACCUAACUGAUAUCACAGGCUGGGUGAGUCCAAUCUGCUCAUGUCCUACUGUUGUGCAUCAGGCUCCUGUCUAAAAAUAGACAGCAAAGACUUUAAAUGGAUGAAGUUCUUUCAGGUAGAGCCCAUAUCAUCCAGGUGCUGAGAUCCCAUAAAUUAUCAAAAGGCUGAUGAUUUUCACACAGUAAAAGGAAAUUGGAAUUCAAAUAUUUAUUAAGUAGCCUUGAGUAAGUCACUCACCCUGAGUCAAGUUCCCUGGAUUGGGAAUAGGACCCAGCACCAAACACUGCUGAAGCCACCAGAAGACAGCGAAAAGCACAGCCCAUCACCUGUCCAAUGCUCUGUAAAGGUCACGUUUGCUCGCUCUGGGCCCCAUCAAAUGUCUAAAGACCUUUUCAGAAUCUUAGAAGCCCGUGCCAGCAGCAGAGCCCCACCCUGUCCACUGACUGCUGAUUUCUCAGCUUCCCCUGGGUACAUUCUGAACUUCUAAGCUCAACUUGCAAAUUUCUUGGGGAAGAGUGUUCAAACUGGUCGUAAAUAGCUUUUUGUACUUCACACUAAGAGUGUACACAAAUCGGAAAAACGUGUUUGCAUCAAGAUUCUGUGCAUGGUCCUUGCUCACAUCCCUCCUCCACCCAGAGGAUCUGGAAAUGCUCUGGAGGAAGGCACGGUUAGCACAGGAAACGCUGGCUUGCGUGUGAGCUGCAAGCAGCUCCUGUAAUCACGUCCCCUCUCUUUGCCACCAGGCUUAUCUCUAUCUUCGGCUGCUUUGCCAUCUGUUCUGGUAAACCUUUUGGAAGGAGACAGCUACGAAGCUCUAGCUCUGAGGCUUUCGACUGGUUCUCCAGAAAGACAGAAAACCUUCAUCCGAGCUUAGAGGAUGAAGCCAUUGUCUGACAUCAUUCAACAACUGUGCAAGCAAUACAUGCCUGCUUCAGAGAACACGGGUUCAAAAAACACGGUCCAAGAGCUUACAGCCACACCCUCCACAGUCAGGAAGGAUGAAGUGAUGGAUGCUGAUGCUUAGCUUGCUGUCUCCUUUGUAUUCAGUCCAGGACCCCAGUCCAAGGAAUGGUGCCUCCCACAGAUAAAGUACAUGGGUGUUGGAAGUACCAGUAGAGGCCAGAAGAGGGUAUCAGAUCCCUUGGACCUGAAGUUAUAGGUAGUUGUAAGCUACCCCACAAGGGUGUGGAGGACUGAAGUCUGGUCCUCUUGAAGAACAAGUACUCUUAAGCAAUGAGCCAUCUUUCCAGCCCAAACUGAACAUUUCUAAGUUGUUUCAUUUUCAAAUUAUCACAGCUACUUAAUUUUUUUUCAUGUUUCCUUUGUGAACACAAAGUCAAGCUCGCUUACUUUGCAAGUCUGAUGCGAAGGGAACACCACCUACUCCCUUUCCAGGCCACAAGUAGCACUGUCUGACGGCUUCCAUCCAGAUGUGUGAAUGCACCUGUUUCCUCUGUUCUACUUGCCUUUUGAUAUCACAACUGUUGCUCAGCGCUAACCUCCAUGCAGGACAAGCUGAGUCUUCAGGAGUUCAGCUGGGCCUGGCUACAAAAGACCAUCACAGCUGGACUUGUGGAUGGUGGACAUUCUUUUCUAGGCAAAGCAGGUAUCAUCAUAGAACCCUCACCUGAGUCUCCGGUCACUCCUCCCAGCCAGUUGUAUGCAAUUAUGCCCUAAUUGCCUUGGCCUCAGGAAGGGAUUAGAGUAUAUAGGCUGGGGGAAGAUGGGAGAGAAUCUCCGUCUGCAUAGCCACAGGGAAGUGAUCCAGGUGCAGACCUCCUAGUGCCACUAUUUUGGGGUCACCCACGCUCUGUCAGUCACCCUAAUCAACCCACUGGUUCCCCAGUGGGAACUUUGGGGAAAUAGAACCUUGGUUUGUCAUGGGCCUUUGGAGGGGAGUAGAAUUACCUUGUCCCAGUCUAGAUGAAAACCCUCUCAACAGCUCAGGAAGACAAGGCUGGGGAAAAUAAAAUCCUCCAGCAAUCCAACUGUUACUCUCAAAGGACAGUUUCCCACCCUGGAUGGUUGGUAAACAACUUUCAGUCCUGCUGUCCACACACCAUGUGAACUGAAUGACACCAGGAUGGGGGUGUGCGCCAUGCUUUCUCUCCCUGGAACCCAGGAGCUGCUAGGAAAUGCACCGUGGCGCUCUUUCUCAUAUGGCAUAGGAUGGAGCACGGACCUGUCCUGCACAGGAGCCCUUCCAACUCCUGACCCUGUCUGAGGGCUCUGCAACCACUGAAGUUUGAACAAAGCCAAAAUUUCAAGCUAGGAUCUCGAAGUGAAACCAGAAGCUAUGGUUAAGAGAACAGAAAUAGAAUUGACAAUCCAAAUGUGUCAACAGCCAUGAAUACUGAUACCAACAGAUUUCAGGUGCUAUUAUUUUUUAUUCCAAAGGUGAGUAAGUGUUUUAAAUUUUUAAAUGUUUAAAUGCUUGGUUAUAUGUGUAUAUGUAUUAUAUAUACAUUCUUUUUAACAUGGAAAGAAAUUCUUUACAAAGAUUAAUAACAUUAUAGCUCCAGUAAACUUUAAAUGGUGCUCAUGGAUAAAAGACAGAAGUCUCCAGAAAGGCAACAGCUAUCUUCAAGAAGGACUAUGACUUGGGGAUUAUGAUGAUGUGUGUGGAUCUGGUGGUGACAGUCUACAGAGCUGACUGGCACAGAGCUGUGCCACAGCUAAGCUAUACAGGAACCAUCUGGCAGCGAUCUACUUGAUGAUGUUGGAAGGACAUCCACGAGGAUUGUGAAGAAUAUGGAAGAACAGAUCAGUUUAGUCUCUGAACACAAGAUGCAGUUGUUCCCAGGUGUGCUCAUCCAUCAUCUCUUGUAAGGUUGUAGAUGUUAUUGUCUUUGUAAUGGAUUUGUGAGCCCAGAACAGAAGAGGCAGAUUAAUUUGUGGAAUAGUUUACCUCUGCCAAUGAAGAAAGUAUAGGCUACAAAAUUCCUGUUGAAGCAGUUUGUCCUUCCAUCCUGGUUGCCCCUAGAGCACUGGGCUAGCCUCUGCUACAGAAUGCACAUGAUUAUCAGAUUAUUUGUCUAUGGACGUCUGAAGGCUGCGAGUCCUUUCAAUGCAGGAAUUUUAUUUUUAGUCCUUUUUUUUAACAAUAUUUAGAGGUUUGUCAGUGCCUGCUGUUUUUUGUGACAACGUGGUUCAAUAGAGUUUUACAUCAUUUACCCUAGUAAUUGCUCAAUAUUUAGCAAAUGAAUUCUCUACCAAUUACUUCAUCCUUUACCCCCUUUACCAGGGAUAAACAUUCCAAGAGGAAAGUUGAUGUUUAUUUCAUGAUUUUCAUGUUUGGUGAUGUUGAUGAAUUGUUGGGGCAGCUGAUUAUUUAGCUACUGCCUUGGCACAUAGGGGUUUUCCCAGUAUGUAUCAACCACUCAGUCCUUAUAGAGGCCAAAUAAUAAUUACUCUGUGCCUUCUAACAACUGAGUUUUUGAGACAUUUUGAAUCUGAGAAUGUUAGUUCUUAAGUUCACACUAAAAGUCUA